AGAACAGGCCAGAACAACAUCACAUCCAUUUAUACUGACACAAGGUUGAACUAACUGAUCCUUUAUCUGUGGAACAGGAACUCAUAAAUGUAUUUCAAUCAUUAAUGGGGGAGUGUGCUGCUGAACUCCCUUGUGCCAAUUCUGAAAUUAUGAAAGAGGGACAGUGCUUCAAUCUAGCUCACAAAGAAUGCUAAUUAGAGAGGUUACUCUGGAAGAGAUCACUGAAGCGGUUAAAGAAAUGCCUAAAGAUAAAGCACCAGGAGUAGAUGGCUUUCCAGUGGAAUUCUUUACUA
RNAcentral lists this long non-coding RNA (293 nucleotides) under Nicotiana benthamiana. RNAcentral's name for it is "long non-coding RNA (NBEN_LNC014286)". The record is from RNAcentral. Lineage: Eukaryota; Viridiplantae; Streptophyta; Magnoliopsida; Solanales; Solanaceae.